CACGAAGUUCAAUGAGCUAGCUAUAAUAUGUGUAUUUGACAAAAGUAUGUAGCAUAAUAUUAUAUUAAUUAUCGCUAGGGGUGAUAGGCCUAUCAAAGUGAAUGAUAACUUGUUUCUCUUGAGAUAUAUUAAGUAUUGAAGACAAACUUGAAGUUAUAAGGCUUUAAGUAGUAAUUAGAGAACAUUUAAAUGGAAGUAUCAAGUUUAAUAACAAAUAUUAUUUGACUAUAGUAUUAAAUUGUUUGAGGGUAUUGAUUAAUAAAGAGAUAUAAAUAAAUUAAAAUGUUUAUUAAUUCUGUUGAUAUAAGUAUAAUAUAUAGUUAUUUUUAAUGAACUCGGCAAUUAUAGCUCUCAACUGUUUACCAAAAACAUAGUCAGCUGAAUUAUAUAGUUGGUGAUUUCUGCUCGGUGAUUAGUUAAACAGCCGCAGUACCCUGACUGUGCUAAGGUAGCGCAAUCAAUUGGCUUUUAAUUGAAGUCCUGUAUGAAGAAGAUAUGGGAGAUGACUGUAUCAUUUGUAGUUUAGAAGUUACUAAGUAGGUGCAAAAACCUAUAAUUAAAUAACAGACGAGAAGACCCUAGAAAUUUUAAGAACUUGCCUUUAUGAGCUUUUUGUUGGGGCAACACAGUAUAGAACCUACAAGGUUGACAUGAAAUGUUAUAGAACGUAUAAAUUACUCUAGGGAUAACAGCAUAAUUUGUAAGAGUUUGUGACCUCGAUGUUGGACUAGGAAAUUAGCGUUUAGAA
Molecule: ribosomal RNA, 748 nt
Filed under: Baudinella margaritata
Lineage: Eukaryota; Metazoa; Mollusca; Gastropoda; Stylommatophora; Camaenidae
Description: partial 16S ribosomal RNA
Rfam family: Archaeal large subunit ribosomal RNA (bases 353-498)
Source: RNAcentral